This 253-nucleotide ribosomal RNA is filed under the name uncultured bacterium. RNAcentral describes it as "partial 16S ribosomal RNA". It matches the Rfam family "Bacterial small subunit ribosomal RNA", at positions 524 to 776 of the family's 1533-position model. The record is from RNAcentral.
GACAGAGGGGGCAAGCGUUGCUCGGAAUUACUGGGCGUAAAGGGCGCGUAGGCGGAAUGGCAAGUCGGUCGUGAAAUCCUUCGGCUCAACCGAAGAACGUCGAUCGAAACUGCCGUUCUUGAGGAUUGCAGAGGAGACUGGAAUUCCCGGUGUAGCGGUGAAAUGCGCAGAUAUCAGGAGGAACACCGGUGGCGAAGGCGGAUCUCUGGGCCUGUUCUGACGCUGAGGCGCGAAAGCUAGGGGAGCGAACAGG